Long non-coding RNA from Paramisgurnus dabryanus, 769 nucleotides. RefSeq lists it as uncharacterized. The record is from RefSeq and is a predicted model, not a curated record. NCBI's taxonomy places the organism in Eukaryota, Metazoa, Chordata, Actinopteri, Cypriniformes, Cobitidae.
AAUUCCUGAGGCAUGUUUAAAGAGUUUUGUAUUUCAUCAAGAAGGUGCUGCUGAUUCACAAAGAUUUUAUAUUUAAGAAAAUCUGAGCAUCAUUCCAAAUAACUGUUAACAUGUUUGUCAACUAAACAUGUUUUGUAAACGUAAUAAACUUUAUAAAAAUAUUUUUUAUUUUUUAUUAAUAAUCAAGUAUAAAGAACAAUGCAUAGUGUGAAAACGCGGAUUAUAAAAAGUAUAUUAAAUAAAAGGACUACAUUUCCCAGAAUGCACCUGCACCUACUCAUCUGCCCCCACCCUUCAGGUGCGACUGCUCAACCUAUGGGCUUGACGGGAAAAUUCAAAAUCGCGAACCGUUACUGCCUGGACUACUCCGUCUCUUGUUUGUUUGUUUGCUCAUUAACAGUAAGAGGUCAUGUACACUGUGGUCAACUUUGUGGACGAUGAAGAGGUUUCUGGGUAAAGCUGAUAGAAAUAUAAUGAAGUAACAGUGAAAGCUAAAACAUCAGACUGAUCCAGACACUGAAGAAAUUGAUGUCACUGCAAUCUGGCCAAAAUGAUACAACUAUAUUGAAGUAACCUACUGUAAUGAAGCUGCAGAACAACACAGAGACUCUGAGGACAUCAACACAGAAAAUUAAGGCUCCAAAGAGAUGUCUGUCCAGAUGAGGGUGCAUCAACGUUACCUUUGCUGACAAGUAUAUGCUUUACAAUGUAAAACCUAACAGUUAACUUAACUCAAACCAUUUAAGGAAAUCGGUUGCCUUAACCCAUU